UCCUUCUUCCUUCCUCCUCCUUCCUUCCUUCUUCCUUCCUUUCUUUUUCUUUCCUUCUUUCUUUCCUUCUUUCUUAUUUUUUAAUUCAUUUAUUUAUUUAUUACUUAGUUACUGAACUCUGAGACCAAUUCAUCUGGAAUGGACAAUAGUUCACUUGCAGAGUACCCUCUCAAGGUUACCUUUACCAUCCUACUAUUUGUCAUGGGAGAGUGGCUCAGGACCUUGUUAUGUUAUCCUGCCCACCUUCUGUGAAAAGCUUUCAUUACACAGAUGAUAUAAUACUAACCUCUAAGUGUCUCAUGGACUCAGAAAAACAUCUGAAAGUUAUACAAGGGCAACCAAAAGAGUGAUGUUUAAAAUCAGUUUGCACACAUUACUAGGAUCAGGAAUAGCAGCUGUAAAAUAUUUGGGUGUGUUAUGGUUUGGAAUGAGCCAUAUGAUACCUGACAACAUUAUUAAGCAAAGCCUACAAUUGUCUGCACCUAUAUGAACACAAAACAAUUGCAGGUUUUUGAGAGAUUCUGGGCCACCAGUUCAUUUUCAUACCCAGCUUGCUGAAGUGUCUUGCCCUUUAUAAAACUUAAUUUAGAAAGAAAGAAAGAAAGAAAGAAAGAAAGAAAGAAAGAAAGAAAGAAAGAAAGAAAGAAAGAAAGAAAGAAAGAAAGAAAGAAAGAAAAGAAAAUCCACAUGGGAUUCGGACCAAAAUGCUAAGCACUGAUGCCAUGUGAUCAGCCAGUUCAUCCCCCUGGACCAGGGUGGCCUGUACCUCCUUGAACUGAAGCAAUGGCAUCAAGAAGAUUUACUCAAGUGGGUUGAAGAGCAACUGGCAGGAGAAAAAUUGGAGAUAACAAGGGCCCAUGAGUGUUGCUAUACUUCUGAGGAAAGGCAACAGAUCUGAAUUGCUCCCUCAGUGAAGUGUUGAAUUUUCUAUCCGAGAGGUGAAGUGAUGUAUAGGUCAAGCCUUCCUCCUCAGAUAUAAUGAACACACAGUGCUCGUAUUAAGCAAUUAAACAAUUGAAGGAGAUUUCUUCCAGUGGAAUUUACAUCCCACUGGUACUUUGUGCUACUGGCAGAGAAUAAUGUCCAUCUUGGGUUUAAUUCCCCCACUUCUCCAGUUAGGAACUUGGUGAUGGAUGUUUUACAAUGUACUGAUGAUUCUUGAGUAUUAGCUAGGUGAUCUACCACAAGAAACUACCAAAAAGAAACAUUGUAUACACAGAUGCCAUGUGAUCAAGUGCCUCAUUCUCCUGUAGCUAUGCCUUCCCUGCCAUAAUGGACUGUGAGCCAAAAUAAACCCUUCCUUCCUUAAGUCACCUUUGUCACAGCAUAUUUCACAGCAACAGGAAUGAGAAAACAACUAAGACAUCGAUCCAAUCUGAAUGUUCAAAAAAUUAUGGCUGGACAAAUGGCUUUGCCACCCUCAUGGAGAACCCAAGUUUACUUCCCAGGACCCACAACCAGACAGCUCCCAAACUGCCUGUUACUCCAGUUUCAGAAUGCAGUGGCCUCCGAGCACAUUCACAUUCUCUUAUGCAUAGUCACACAUAGACUAAGUAAUUUUUUUAAUUCAAAUGUUUUUUAAAAACAAAAUUAAACUUCAAUUUGAAAGCAUCCUGACCUAUAAGGCAACUUCAGAGUUGAUUGACUCAGGAUACAAGGACCCAUAUUUCUUCUAAUUCUUGACAUCCCCUAGUGUUUGCUUUGGUGAAAUCACCAUGCCAGGAUAACUGCUGCCAUCCCAAAUAUUGCACACAGACAUCACAAUGUCCAAAGAGGGGAAGGAGCAGCCCUCACCAUCUCUUUUUGUCAGUAAUGAAGCCUGUCCCUCGAACCUUAGGGUACUUCUUUUAUCUUGCUGGACAGAACUGUGUUAAGUCACAUUUCCAAAACAGUUCCUAGUAAGGGAAUGUGCUUAAGGGUAGAUUUAGACUAAUUAGAAUACACUCUGGAGCAGAGGACCUUCUAGCAAGGCUGAAGAGUGGAAUGGCUUCUGGUGGUUAGGAGUGUUUUUUAAAAAUCACAAAGACCUGGUGUUCUG
Molecule: non-coding RNA, 2038 nt
Organism: Peromyscus maniculatus bairdii (prairie deer mouse)
Lineage: Eukaryota; Metazoa; Chordata; Mammalia; Rodentia; Cricetidae
Source: RefSeq, a predicted model, not a curated record